RNAcentral lists this ribosomal RNA (301 nucleotides) under uncultured bacterium. RNAcentral describes it as "partial 16S ribosomal RNA". It matches the Rfam family "Bacterial small subunit ribosomal RNA", at positions 509 to 807 of the family's 1533-position model. The record is from RNAcentral.
CAGCAGCCGCGGUAAUACGUAGGUGGCAAGCGUUGUCCGGAAUUAUUGGGCGUAAAGGGCUCGCAGGCGGUUUCUUAAGUCUGAUGUGAGAGCCCCCGGCUCAACCGGGGAGGGUCAUUGGAAACUGGGAAACUUGAGUGCAGAAGAGGAGAGUGGAAUUCCACGUGUAGCGGUGAAAUGCGUAGAGAUGUGGAGGAACACCAGUGGCGAAGGCGACUCUCUGGUCUGUAACUGACGCUGAGGAGCGAAAGCGUGGGGAGCGAACAGGAUUAGAGACCCCAGUAGUCCCUGUCUCUUAUAC